RNAcentral lists this ribosomal RNA (376 nucleotides) under uncultured bacterium. Its description in RNAcentral is "bacterial SSU rRNA". It matches the Rfam family "Bacterial small subunit ribosomal RNA", at positions 282 to 670 of the family's 1533-position model. The record is from RNAcentral.
GGUAGCCGGCCUGAGAGGGUGUCCGGCCACACUGGGACUGAGAUACGGCCCAGACUCCUACGGGAGGCAGCAGUGGGGAAUAUUGCACAAUGGGCGCAAGCCUGAUGCAGCGACGCCNCGUGGGGGAUGACGGCCUUCGGGUUGUAAACCUCUUUCAAUAGGGACGAAGCGCAAGUGACGGUACCUAUAGAAGAAGCACCGGCCAACUACGUGCCAGCAGCCGCGGUAAUACGUAGGGUGCGAGCGUUGUCCGGAAUUACUGGGCGUAAAGAGCUCGUAGGUGGUUUGUCGCGUUGUCCGUGAAAUUUCACAACUCAAUUGUGAGCGUGCGGGCGAUACGGGCAGACUGGAGUACUGCAGGGGAGACUGGAAUUCC